UCUGACACUGCAAGCGGCUCUCUGCAGUCACCGCUCCGCUGCCUUCCUCCUCACAGUGCCGCUGCCCAAGUGUUUGCACCUGCUGACACACUGCGCCUCGGUCCCGCUGCGGGGCUUGUGCUGAGCUCCGUUUAUGCUGCAGGAUGCACUUUUGUCAGGUGCUCCCAGGGCUGAGCUGGCAGGGGGCCACCCUGAACCUGAGACCUUGGAGAAGCUGAACCAACACAAGAAGGGACACCAGAACCCACCAGCUUUGCCUGCUGUGAGGAGACCCACAACAGAAAGGUGA
Molecule: long non-coding RNA, 289 nt
Filed under: Chloebia gouldiae (Gouldian finch)
Lineage: Eukaryota; Metazoa; Chordata; Aves; Passeriformes; Passeridae
Description: Erythrura gouldiae (Gouldian finch) lncRNA (ENSEGOG00005011482.1)
Source: RNAcentral